AAACUCAAAGGAAUUGACGGGGGCCCGCACAAGCGGCGGAGCAUGUGGCUUAAUUCGAUGCAACGCGAAGAACCUUACCUGGGCUUGACAUGCAGGGAAAACUGUUAGAGAUAGCAGGUCCGCAAGGGCCUUGCACAGGUGGUGCAUGGCUGUCGUCAGCUCGUGUCGUGAGAUGUUGGGUUAAGUCCCGCAACGAGCGCAACCCUCGUCCUAUGUUGCCAGCGAGUAAUGUCGGGGACUCAUAGGAGACCGCCGGGGUCAACUCGGAGGAAGGUGGGGAUGACGUCAAGUCAUCAUGCCCCUUAUGUCCAGGGCUGCACACAUGCUACAAUGGCCGGUACAAAGGGCUGCGAUACCGCAAGGUGGAGCGAAUCCCAUAAAGCCGGUCUCAGUUCGGAUUGGGUCUGCAACUCGACCCCAUGAAGUCGGAGUCGCUAGUAAUCGCAGAUCAGCAACGCUGCGGUGAAUACGUUCCCGGGCCUUGUACACACCGCCCGUCACGUCACG
Molecule: ribosomal RNA, 507 nt
Filed under: uncultured Frankia sp.
Lineage: Bacteria; Bacillati; Actinomycetota; Actinomycetes; Frankiales; Frankiaceae
Description: bacterial SSU rRNA
Rfam family: Bacterial small subunit ribosomal RNA
Source: RNAcentral